UUAACUGAAGCCAAAUAGAGGCUUCUUAAUGUUAAUAAGAUUAUUGAUUAUAUAAAUCCAGUUAAA
This 66-nucleotide transfer RNA is filed under the name Myrmoplasta mira. Its description in RNAcentral is "tRNA-Asn". Lineage: Eukaryota; Metazoa; Arthropoda; Insecta; Hemiptera; Pyrrhocoridae. The record is from RNAcentral.